Oikopleura dioica is the source of this 46-nucleotide regulatory RNA element. It matches the Rfam family "Histone 3' UTR stem-loop". From Rfam's summary of the family: The mRNAs of metazoan histone genes lack a poly-A tail. 3' end processing occurs at a site between a highly conserved stem-loop (modelled by this family) and a purine rich region around 20 nts downstream (the histone downstream element, or HDE). The stem-loop is bound by a 31 kDa stem-loop binding protein (SLBP - also termed the histone hairpin binding protein, or HBP). The record is from Rfam. NCBI's taxonomy places the organism in Eukaryota, Metazoa, Chordata, Appendicularia, Copelata, Oikopleuridae.
AAACCGGCCCUUUUUAGGGCCACAAACUAUCAAAAUUAAUUCUUGU